AUUGAACGCUGGCGGAAUGCUUUACACAUGCAAGUCGAACGGCAGCACGGACUUCGGUCUGGUGGCGAGUGGCGAACGGGUGAGUAACAUAUCGGAACGUAUCCAAUAAUGGGGGAUAACGAGUCGAAAGAUUCGCUAAUACCGCAUACGCCCUACGGGGGAAAGCUGGGGACCUUCGGCCCUGGCGUUAAUGGAGCGGCCGAUAUCUGAUUUGCUAGUUGGUGAGGUAAAGGCUCACCAAGGCGACGAUCAGUAGCUGGUCUGAGAGGACGACCAGCCACACUGGAACUGAGACACGGUCCAGACUCCUACGGGAGGCAGCAGUGGGGAAUUUUGGACAAUGGGCGCAAGCCUGAUCCAGCCAUUCCGCGUGAGUGAAGAAGGCCUUCGGGUUGUAAAGCUCUUUCGCAAGGGAAGAAAACUUAGCCACUAACAUUGGUUGAGGUUGACGGUACCUUGAUAAGAAGCACCGGCUAACUACGUGCCAGCAGCCGCCGUAA
Molecule: ribosomal RNA, 500 nt
Filed under: uncultured bacterium
Lineage: Bacteria
Description: partial 16S ribosomal RNA
Rfam family: Bacterial small subunit ribosomal RNA
Source: RNAcentral